This 267-nucleotide long non-coding RNA is filed under the name Ananas comosus (pineapple). Its description in RNAcentral is "long non-coding RNA (ACOM_LNC027867)". The record is from RNAcentral. Lineage: Eukaryota; Viridiplantae; Streptophyta; Magnoliopsida; Poales; Bromeliaceae.
AAUAAAUUUUCAUUAACCAAAACUCCCCCUCUAUAAUAAAUAUCAAGCCUCUUCAUAAUAAAUUAAAUCCUCAUGCUAAUCGUAAUCAAUUCCUAUAAUUUUAGAAAUUUUUCUAAAACAAACAAAUUUAAUUCUAAUUUUAAACUUUCUAAUCAAUAUCCCUAAUCUUUAAAAAUUUAUUCCAUAUAAAAAAUCCCAAAAAAAUUAAAAUAAUAUAAGAAUAAUAAUAAUAAUUUAAAAAAUUGUAAAAAAAAUUCUAAUUUAUUU